UUGGAGGGCAAGUCUGGUGCCAGCAGCCGCGGUAAUUCCAGCUCCAAUAGCGUAUAUUAAAGUUGUUGCAGUUAAAAAGCUCGUAGUUGAGCUUCGGGGUCCACCCAUCGGUCAGGCUUAAUUAUCUGUACUGGUGAGAUGGAUCCCUACCUUCUGAGGAACUUUCAUGUCAUUUAUUUGGUGUGAUGGGAAAUCAGGACUGUUACUUUGAAAAAAUUAGAGUGUUUAAAGCAGGC
Molecule: ribosomal RNA, 236 nt
Filed under: uncultured fungus
Lineage: Eukaryota; Fungi
Description: partial 18S ribosomal RNA
Rfam family: Eukaryotic small subunit ribosomal RNA
Source: RNAcentral